UUAAGGUAAGCACACAUAAUAAAUCAAUUAGGUUAAUUAGAUUAGUCUGCGGGCUAGCUAGUUAGUGCUAAUUGUUGAGGCUAACGCAGUUAAGUGUGGCCUUACAUGUUUCUCUGUUUUUCCAAUUAGCGAUCACAUAAUCAUGCAAUUUCAUGUUAAGGACUUAAUUUUAACUGAAAAGUGUUGUGUAGUCUGACUGAUUGCUAAUGGAUUCGGUUUUUAAGGUUGUUUUUGUCUAGUUUGCGCUAGUGCUGGACGGUGGCUUAUUUUAUAUUUUAAAUUGAAGAUAUCUUACAUGUAACGUUAACACUUAUGUUUGACUGAUCAAUAAUUGUUUUUACAUUUAAAUUAACUCUAUAGGCAGCAUAUACAAGCCACAGAUCUUGACCAAAGUGCUUAACAGAGAAAUUAAGUUGGCUAAAAUAAAACAAAAACUAAAAUAGAAAGUAGCUUUAAGAAUAAACUUAAUUUUAAUUAUGACGGUAGUUAAAAUAAACUGGGGUUUGUAUGGUGAGCUCGUUCAAAAGAGUAACUUGGUUAGGUUAAGGACCAAAUGAAUAGUUAAAUAAUUGCCAAGGCUAAUGUUACCUGGAAUAAAAUAGAAGAUGGUGAGUUGAUGCUCUCAAGGCUAGCAUUGUUGUGCCAGUCAAUAAAUCUAAUAUUAUUUUAUAGAGUUCAUAUGUCUUGUCUUACACUGAUGCAUACAAUAUCAUUGUAAUGCUGUAACAUUACAAUACCAUUUUUAUCUACUUCUUGAACAUAUUAGUUGAAUUCUGCGUAUCUUCAUUUUCAGUGUAAUUACUUUCACAUGUUUUUAUUUUUCAUCAGUUUGAAAUGCCACCACGAAUCAGCCCCCUUAAGGAUGCCAUGCAUCAUGUUGUUUCAAAAACUGACAAAACAUUCAAAUUAGAUGUGAAGUAUAUCAGUGCAGUGAAAGGACGUGGUCUAUUUGCAAAGGCUGCCUUUUGCAAAGGUGAUUUUGUUGUUGAGUACAGGGGAGAUAUGAUAAAUGAAGCAGAACUUCAGAGGAGAAGAAAACGUUACCACGCAUCCUGUGCUGCAUUUAUGUUUGAUUUCAAGUGGCGAGGGAAAACAUGGUGUAUUGACGCGUCAAGGGAAGAUGGAUCGUAUGGGCGUAUCGCUAAUGAUUGCCACAAUCAUCCAAAUUGUAAGAUGAAAAAAAUUGACGUCAAUGGAAAGCCUCACCUUUGUCUGUUUGCCCUGAAUGACAUUAAAGAAGGAGAAGAAAUUGCCUAUGA
Molecule: non-coding RNA, 1259 nt
Organism: Pimephales promelas (fathead minnow)
Lineage: Eukaryota; Metazoa; Chordata; Actinopteri; Cypriniformes; Leuciscidae
Source: RefSeq, a predicted model, not a curated record